UGGGGAAUAUUGGACAAUGGGCGAAAGCCUGAUCCAGCCAUGCCGCGUGUGUGAAGAAGGUUUUCGGAUUGUAAAGCACUUUAAGUUGGGAGGAAGGGCAUUAACCUAAUACGUUAGUGUUUUGACGUUACCGACAGAAUAAGCACCGGCUAACUCUGUGCCAGCAGCCGCGGUAAUACAGAGGGUGCAAGCGUUAAUCGGAAUUACUGGGCGUAAAGCGCGCGUAGGUGGUUUGUUAAGUUGGAUGUGAAAUCCCCGGGCUCAACCUGGGAACUGCAUUCAAAACUGACUGACUAGAGUAUGGUAGAGGGUGGUGGAAUUUCCUGUGUAGCGGUGAAAUGCGUAGAUAUAGGAAGGAACACCAGUGGCGAAGGCGACCACCUGGACUAAUACUGACACUGAGGUGCGAAAGCGUGGGGAGCAAACA
This 427-nucleotide ribosomal RNA is filed under the name uncultured bacterium. RNAcentral's name for it is "partial 16S ribosomal RNA". It matches the Rfam family "Bacterial small subunit ribosomal RNA", at positions 355 to 774 of the family's 1533-position model. The record is from RNAcentral.